CACCGCGGUUAUACGAGCGGGCCCCAGUUGAUAAAAUCCGGCGUAAAGAGUGGUUAGUAGAAUCUUUACUAAAGUCGAACAUCUCCGGGGCUGUUAUAAGCUUUCGAAGACGGGAAGCCCACCCACGAAAGUGGCUUUAAAAACUACGACCCCACUGAAGCUAGGGGA
Molecule: ribosomal RNA, 168 nt
Filed under: Eviota masudai (Masuda's dwarfgoby)
Lineage: Eukaryota; Metazoa; Chordata; Actinopteri; Gobiiformes; Gobiidae
Description: partial 12S rRNA
Source: RNAcentral